AAAGGACACAAGUUCUUCAUCUCCUUCCCUUCCAGCCUUCCACUGCAUAGCCGCGCCUAGUGAAUAAAUGAGUUAUUCCACGCGGCCCGUCGCAGCUUGCCUCUCUCUCCCGCCAAAUUUAGGUACAAAAUCCAAAACCUCUCCAAAUAGGAAAAGCUUCAUUUCUCUGUUGCAAAAUUGCGAACACAUUAGCCAAAUUCUACCAAUACACGCUAAAAUCAUAAGAACCAAUCAUCACAAUGACCCCUUUAUCGUCUUUGAGCUACUUCGUGUUUGCUUUAAUCUCAAAUCAAUGGACUACGCUUCCAAAAUCUUCUCUUACACUCAAAACCCAAAUGUCUACCUCUACACUGUUCUCAUUGAUGGGUUUGUGUUAUGCGGUUAUCAUAUUGACGGGAUUCAUUUAUAUUAUCAAAUGAUCAACUCAUCAAUCUUGCCAGAUAACUAUUCAAUCACUUCGGUUUUGAAAGCUUGUGGGCAUCAAUUAGCGUUGAGAGAAGUUAGAGAGGUUCACUGCCAAAUUUUGAAACUUGGGUUGAGUUCAAACAGGUCAAUAAGAAUGAAACUGAUGGAGGUUUAUGGUAAAUGUGGAGCACUAGAAGAUGCAAAGCAUGUUUUCGAUAAAAUGCCUGAACAAGAUGUUGUUGCAUCAACAAUUAUGAUAAACUCCUUCUUUGAUCAUGGAUUGGUUCAGGAGGCAACUGGUAUUUUUAAUUCGAUUAAGACUAAGGACACGGUGUGUUGGACUGCGAUGAUUGAUGGGUUGGUUAGGAAUGGGGAGAUGAACCCAGCUUUAGAGUUGUUCAGAGAAAUGCAAAGGUUGGAUGUGAGGCCAAAUGAAUUUACCAUUGUUUGUGUUUUAUCUGCUUGUUCGAGACUAGGGGCUUUGGAACUUGGAAGAUGGGUGCACUCUUAUAUGGGCAGGUAUAGGAUUGAGCUCAACCAUUUUGUUGGUGGUGCGUUGAUCAAUAUGUACUCGAGGUGCGGUGAUAUUGAUAAGGCAUGGCGGGUUUUUGAAGAGAUGAAAGAGAGGAAUGCCAUCACCUACAAUUCUAUGAUUAUGGGGUUUGCCUUGCAUGGGAAGAGUAGUGAAGCUAUUGAGCUGUUUAGGGGAAUGACAAAACAAGGACUUACUCCAACUAGUGUCACUUUUGUUGGCGUGUUGACUGCUUGCAGUCAUGGUGGUUUGGCAGAUUUGGGAUUUGAAAUCUUUCACUCUAUGGCAAGAGAUUAUGGGAUUGAACCACAAAUUGAGCACUACGGAUGUAUGGUUGAUCUUCUCGGUCGACUAGGUCGACUUGAGGAGGCAUAUCAUUUUAUUAGAACAAUGAAACUAGCACCAGAUCAUGUUAUGCUAGGAGCUUUGCUAAGUGCUUGUAAAAUUCAUGGAAAUCUGGAAUUAGGGGAAGAGAUUGCGCAAAGUUUAGUGAAUUGUGGAAAUGAGGAUUCAGGAACUUAUGUUUUACUAUCAAAUGCAUAUUCUUCAUCGGGAAAAUGGAAAGAGGCUGCUCAAGUAAGAGCAAAGAUGAAAGGAGAAGGAAUAGAAAAGGAACCAGGUUGUACUUCCAUUGAAGUGAACAAUGAGAUUCAUGAGUUCAUUUUGGGAGAUCUCAGACACUCUCAAAAGGAAGAAAUCUACAAAAAGUUGGAACAGCUGAACCAAAUAUUGAGAUUGGAAGGCUAUACUCCUGCAACAGAAGUUGUGCUACAUGAUAUUGAAGACUGGCAGAAAGAAUGGGCUUUAGCAAUGCAUAGCGAGAGGCUUGCAAUAUGCUAUGGACUAAUUUCUACAAAACCAUUUACCACAAUAAGAGUUGUAAAAAAUCUGAGGGUAUGUAAUGACUGCCACUCAAUGAUCAAGCUCAUUUCUAAGAUUACCAAGAGAAAAAUAGUAGUGAGGGAUCGCAAUAGGUUUCACCAUUUUGAAAAUGGGACUUGUUCUUGUGGAGACUACUGGUGAAAUAAGAUUUCAAAUUUUUCUUCAAA
Molecule: unclassified non-coding RNA, 1986 nt
Filed under: Hevea brasiliensis (rubber tree)
Lineage: Eukaryota; Viridiplantae; Streptophyta; Magnoliopsida; Malpighiales; Euphorbiaceae
Source: RNAcentral